GAAAUAUAACAAUCGUUAAGGCUGACAAGUUGGUUCAACCCAUCAAUCAUUUUACAUCAGUAAUAACAGCAUGGACGAAAUCGAGCUAACAUAAUUCCUGACAGCCUGAACUGCAACAUCAAGAUUUACAUGAAGAUAUGAACCAAAACAGUGACCUCACUGGCUUGUCGCAAUCCCCUCACGCCCAACCGUAAAUCAAUCGAUCCAGAGCAACAAAAACUAUAGUUACCUCGUGGGCGAGGUUGGGAGCGGCGAGGGCGCGAGGCCGGCGAGGUGGACGGGGAGGACUGCGUGUGACGGCGACGGCGGUGGCGCCGAUAUGACCGAGGACGAGCGUAUGCCGGGCGAUGUGAGGAGGAAGGCAUGCGACGUCAACGCUGAUCCGGGUGACGCGGCCUGCGACGGCGAACUUGCGGCGGCAUGGACUCGAGCGGGGAGGGGCGGCGCGUCGGUCGGCGGGGACAAGAUUAGGGUUAGGGUGAGAGGGUUGCACGAUUUCGGGAUAAGAAAAGGAAAUCACGCGAUUGAGAUCGGUGGCGGCGAGACGACGGAUGCAACAACGGCGGAGCGGCGGCGGUCGAGGGCGGUGGCGCCGCGUGAGAGGGAGAGAUUAGGGUUGGAGAGGGGGGCGCGAUUGGGGAGGGGCGGCGGCGCGAUAGACGAAAGAAGAGGAGGCGGCAACGAUUGGGAGGAGGUGGGGAGGAGGCCAACGAGCAGGGGAGGCAUCGGGGGUGGAGGAGUGAGGAGUCGAUGGCGGUGCGUGGAGUCAAGGUGGCGGUGGAGUCGAGGGUUUUGGAGGCGGCGCGGGUGGAGUGGAGUGCAACGGCUGAGUGCGGAGGAGUCAACGUCGCAGAGGGGUGGAGCGCGUGGUGCAGCGGCGGUGGCACAUAAGCGUGAAGCACUAGAGGAGGCGGCGGAGGAGGUGGGGAAGAUGAUGGAAUCAACUGCAGCGAUGGGAAGGCAUUGGGCGGAGGAGGAACCAGCGUGCGGCGGCGUGCAGGUGGAGAUGACGCGGAUGAGGAAUUGGUGUAGAUGUGGCAGCGACGACAAUAGUGUGGAUGGAUGCGACGCUCCUCGUCGGGUUCGUGGCACCUGGGUGGUGGCGUGGAUGGAAACGGCACUCCGCGUCGAGCUCAAGGCAGAGAGAGAGGGAAGUGAGGGGAAGAGCGGCGUCGGCGGCGGCAUCCCUUCACGCGGAGGCGACAGAGCGAAGGAUAUGGAAGCUAGGGAGCAUGAUGACCCGACCGCCGAUGUGGAGGCAGCGGAUCGGAGAGGAUGUGGACAGGGCGAGCAUGAGUCUCCAUGGCAGCCGUCGUGCUCCUCCCACGACUAGCGCGGCUUAA
Molecule: long non-coding RNA, 1343 nt
Filed under: Oryza sativa Indica Group (long-grained rice)
Lineage: Eukaryota; Viridiplantae; Streptophyta; Magnoliopsida; Poales; Poaceae
Description: lncRNA OsZS97_09G006290
Source: RNAcentral